GUCCUAGCUGUAAACGGUGCACAUUUGCUGUAAGAGGAAUCGACCCCUUUUGUGGCGAAGCUAACGCGUUAAAUGUGCCGCCUGGGGAGUACGGUCGCAAGAUUAAAACUCAAAGAAAUUGACGGGGGCCUGCACAAGCGGUGGAGUAUGUGGCUUAAUUCGAUGCAACGCGAAGAACCUUACCUGGCCUUGACAUGUAUCUAGUAGAAGGGUGAAAGCCUGACGAGGUAGCAAUACCAGGAUACACAGGUGCUGCAUGGCUGUCGU
RNAcentral lists this ribosomal RNA (267 nucleotides) under uncultured bacterium. RNAcentral describes it as "partial 16S ribosomal RNA". It matches the Rfam family "Bacterial small subunit ribosomal RNA", at positions 793 to 1055 of the family's 1533-position model. The record is from RNAcentral.